UACGGGAGGCAGCAGUGAGGAAUAUUGGACAAUGGGUGAGAGCCUGAUCCAGCCAUCCCGCGUGAAGGACGACGGCCCUAUGGGUUGUAAACUUCUUUUGUACAGGGAUAAACCUUUCCACGUGUGGAAAGCUGAAGGUACUGUACGAAUAAGCACCGGCUAACUCCGUGCCAGCAGCCGCGGUAAU
RNAcentral lists this ribosomal RNA (187 nucleotides) under uncultured Chryseobacterium sp. RNAcentral describes it as "partial 16S ribosomal RNA". It matches the Rfam family "Bacterial small subunit ribosomal RNA", at positions 340 to 524 of the family's 1533-position model. The record is from RNAcentral. Lineage: Bacteria; Pseudomonadati; Bacteroidota; Flavobacteriia; Flavobacteriales; Weeksellaceae.